Molecule: long non-coding RNA, 227 nt
Filed under: Brachypodium distachyon (stiff brome)
Lineage: Eukaryota; Viridiplantae; Streptophyta; Magnoliopsida; Poales; Poaceae
Description: long non-coding RNA (BDIS_LNC003261)
Source: RNAcentral
CAUGUCUGACUCUUAACACGAGGGGAGGUAACUGGUGAGGAGACUAGAGAAGAAGCCACAUGCGCUAGCACAAAGGUGUUACCGCAUGCCGCCCACAUCAUCUACUGGCCCCGCUUUGUAUAGAUCCCAAAGGCACCCAACAAUAGUAGCAAGGGAUGGAAAGAAAAAGAGACACAAAGGAAAGAAACAAAAAGACGCAAAGGAAAGAAACAAAAGAUAGACGCAAA